UAAAAGUUUAAUACAAUAAGUAUUCCAAAAGCUAUUACAUCAAAUGAGUGGCUUUGUGGGCAUACUUCCAACACGGAAUGUGAUGUAACAAGCUUGACUUCAAUUCGAACUCGUCUGUCUUCCCUUGGGCUGCCGUGGGGUAUUGGAUGCAUAAAGGCAUUGCAUUGUCCACACCCGAGGCAGAAAGCUCUUUGAUGGUUCGAUUAUCCGCUGCCAUGUCUUGCACUUCCUCCACAACCUAUGUCGUGGGGUCUUCUUCCUCCUCUACUACUUGUUCUUCAAACUCAGGUUCAAGGCUAGGUGGAUUAGAUGCUUGCUGAUUCCUCUUCCUUUCAAAGUCCUCUCAAAAUCGUCGUCAAAGUUAAAUAUGUGCUCACGAAUAGGUUGAGAACUUCGAGUCAUACACUUGUACCUAAAAACAAGAAAACAAAACAAGUCAGCAACUAAAAUAAAAACACAUGAAAAUAAAUAAAAAGAAACAAUAAGGAAUUAGCAAAGUUGCUAAACCCCGACAACGGCGCCAAAAUUUGAUGUGAAAAUUAACUUGACACACAAAUUAAACCCUCUUAUUGACAACUGUAGUAAAGAUGUAAGUAGGGAUCAUUCUGGACUAGGGAUUAGGAGGGAUUGCAAUCUAUGCUAAACUGACUUUAAAACACAAAACUAGGCUUGAAAAUACUUAACUAGACUCAAAGAAUGGAAAUCUAGACUCUAAGGGGGCGUUUGUUUGCCCUCACUAAGUGAGACUUGACUGGACUGGACUAGCUGUUAGUCCAAUACUGUGUUUGUUCCAUGCUGGGACUAACAUUAAUGAGACUAAAGGGGACUAGCAUGGACAAAACCCUUCACUAAAAGGUCUUAGCGAGACCCCGUAAUAACCAUGGGACUAGCUAAGACUAUCCUUUCUUGUCCUCGUCAUGCUCAACAACCACUCCCGAUAGACUCCUCGUCAUCUCCGGUCACCUAGAUCAUAAUAAAAUAUUAAUAAUUUAUAUAUUAAAUAAUAUAAUAUUAGAAUUUGUUAUUAUCCAGCUUCUUAGUCCAACACUGCACCAAACGCUUCACUAAGUUAGUCCAGCUUAGUCUAGUCUAAGCCAGUCCAGCUUAGUCCUUGAAGCUAGUCCAGUCCGAGAUAGUCCGGUGCAACAAACACCCCCUAAUACACUAAAACAACUCAAAUGACUCAAACAGCACAAAACAAGCUAAUUAGACUCAAACUAGACACUAGGACUGAAUUUGGUCGAAAAUUGGUUUUACCUUGACUCAAAACACUUAAAAACACAAACUAAAACAGUUUCUAACUAAUAUGACUCAACAAAGUAAAGGAGGAUUUGGUUUUGACGAAUUUUAAGUAAAAACAAAUAACUAAAGACUUAGAACAGAUUGUAAAUGAAUUUGGGAAAUAAGAUGGUUGAUAGAUUAGCUGGAGGUCCAUUCUUCACACAUGACACACUUGUACAUGAAUCAAUUUCCAAUUGCUUUUCAAUAAAUUAUGAAGCUCAACACCCCAGAUUAACCAUGAUGCACUAAAUAACCCUCAGAUUUUCCUUUACUCAUUGAAUUGGAUGAAUGCAUGCAACAACCCAAAUCAUUCUCCAAAAGGACCCCUACAUGAAUGCAUAAUAGAGAUACAAUCAAACAUCUUUACGUUCCAUGAAAAUCAUAAGUGUUGACAAGACAUUCGUAACUAUGAAUGCAUGAUACGUUUGCCAAGAAUUCAAUUAACGCGAUUGUGACUAGCAACCUUCACUACUCAUGAAUAUAAAUUUGUAACGAUUAGGUGAAACUCAUUUAUAUUCUAGCAUCAAAUUCAUGCAUGAAAACUAAGUAUGCAUCCCUAAUCAACAUACAAGAAUCAGUUUUGAAGAAAACAGUUAAUUGAAUUGCAUUCACAACUUAUCAAAUCACAAUUGGAAGAAAUCAAUUCAUAUCUUAAGGAUGUUCAUGGCUUCGAAUUUCCCCCUCGCUAAGUAGGGGUUUAGCCACUUAUGUUCAUAGAAAAAGAAAAGAAAGAAAUUAAACAUUGUAAAUAUAGAACGAAUUACACCUAGAAUGCUCCAACAAUCAAGCUCAAACAUCCAAGAGUCUUCCCUUCUUUCUUCUUGUUUUGGCACAAAGGUGGAUAAAGUGUAUGAGAUGUGUUUUGGGGUCCGGAAUGAUGGUUUUGGUUGAAUGGGGCUGAGGCAAAGAUGUAUGGUGGUGGAGAAUGAUGUAGAAUGGUGUAUAGGGUGCGGCAGAUUAUGUUUCUGAAUGAUAUGGGGGGAGGUGACGCAUUUUGGCUAAAAAACUUAUAUUUAUAGGCUAGGGUUUUGUAGAAAAAGGCUUGGCCCAAUCCAAGGGGGAAAAGAACUAGGGUUUCUGCAGAUUUUAGGGCUUCUAGAAGUAUAAGGUGCGGCACCUAUUUAGGUUUUCUAGAAAGGAAGUCUUGUGGCAGGUUCUUGAACUUCUAGAAAGCUUUAGGGCGCCACCUUUUUAGGGCUUCUAGAAAGGGUGGUGCGGCAUGUGUUUAAGUGAAGGGAUAGGCCUUCUAGAAGGGAUUUAGGUGCCCUUACAGCUGAAUAUUCAUCUUCCAAGUCUUGAAUUGAUUUCUCCAUCUCUUUAGCACGUUCCUAGCUUCAUUUGAUCUUCAAAAACGUCCAUUCCUUAUGCUCCACAUGCUUGCAAUCCAAUUCAGCCCAAAAGUGCUUCAAAAUGCAUCAAAUUACGCUUUCUUGCCAACUUUGCCAAUUAGACCUACAAACACACGAAAAUAGCUUAAAACACUAUAAUAAGUAGAAACGAGCUAUGAAAAUGCAAGAAAACAAAACCUAAACCUUCCAACGUUUGUCUCAGAGUUUUCAAUGACGCAUGACAUAUUAAAAAUCACUACUCACAUGGAUUUUAGUUAUCCUUACCCUCGAGCACAUACUUAAUCACAAUCACCACUCACUAGCUCGCAUUUAAUCAAUUAAAACAUGGUUUUGAUGGUAGUAGCAUGCCUUAGAGAAUUCCCUCAAUUCCUGAAGGUAUAUUUUGUGAAAACAUGUUCAUUUGAAUAACAUCUAUAGCAUGCUAAUAACAAUUAAAAGGCGGAAUCAUGCUUGCAUGCAUUCAAAAACAAAACAUUAACCAAGAAAUUCAAAGCCUAGUAGAUUGGUGAACCAAAACUCAACUCAAAACAAAG
This 3163-nucleotide long non-coding RNA is filed under the name Malus domestica (apple). RNAcentral describes it as "long non-coding RNA (MDOM_LNC018698)". Lineage: Eukaryota; Viridiplantae; Streptophyta; Magnoliopsida; Rosales; Rosaceae. The record is from RNAcentral.